UACGAAGGGGGCUAGCGUUGCUCGGAAUCACUGGGCGUAAAGGGUGCGUAGGCGGGUCUUUAAGUCCGGGGUGAAAUCCUGGAGCUCAACUCCAGAACUGCCUUUGAUACUGAAGAUCUUGAGUUCGGGAGAGGUGAGUGGAACUGCGAGUGUAGAGGUGAAAUUCGUAGAUAUUCGCAAGAACACCAGUGGCGAAGGCGGCUCACUGGCCCGAUACUGACGCUGAGGCACGAAAGCGUGGGAAGCAAACAGG
This 253-nucleotide ribosomal RNA is filed under the name uncultured bacterium. RNAcentral's name for it is "partial 16S ribosomal RNA". It matches the Rfam family "Bacterial small subunit ribosomal RNA", at positions 524 to 776 of the family's 1533-position model. The record is from RNAcentral.